This 253-nucleotide ribosomal RNA is filed under the name uncultured bacterium. RNAcentral's name for it is "partial 16S ribosomal RNA". It matches the Rfam family "Bacterial small subunit ribosomal RNA", at positions 524 to 776 of the family's 1533-position model. The record is from RNAcentral.
UACGGGGGGGGCAAGCGUUGUUCGGAAUUACUGGGCGUAAAGGGCUCGUAGGCGGCCAACUAAGUCGGAUGUGAAAUCCCCAGGCUUAACCUGGGAACUGCAUCCGAUACUGGAUGGCUUGAAUCCGGGAGAGGGAUGCAGAAUUCCAGGUGUAGUGGUGGAAUGCGUAGAUAUCGGGAGGAACACCAGUGGCGAAGGCGGGUUACUGGGCUGAUACUGACGCUGAAUCACGAAAGCUAGGGGAGCAAACGGG